UCGCUCGUAUCUCAGCUGGAUAGAGUACCUGGCUACGAACCCGGCGGUCGGAGGUUCGAAUCCUCCCGAGCGCGCCA
This 77-nucleotide transfer RNA is filed under the name Vibrio nereis. RNAcentral's name for it is "tRNA-Arg". It matches the Rfam family "tRNA". Rfam says of the family: Transfer RNA (tRNA) molecules are approximately 80 nucleotides in length. Their secondary structure includes four short double-helical elements and three loops (D, anti-codon, and T loops). The record is from RNAcentral. Lineage: Bacteria; Pseudomonadati; Pseudomonadota; Gammaproteobacteria; Vibrionales; Vibrionaceae.